CAGCCGCCGCGGUAAUACGAAGGGGGCUAGCGUUGUUCGGAAUCACUGGGCGUAAAGCGCACGUAGGCGGACUUUUAAGUCAGGGGUGAAAUCCCAAGGCUCAACCUUGGAACUGCCUUUGAUACUGGAAGUCUUGAGUUCGGGAGAGGUGAGUGGAACUGCGAGUGUAGAGGUGAAAUUCGUAGAUAUUCGCAAGAACACCAGUGGCGAAGGCGGCUCACUGGCCCGAUACUGACGCUGAGGUGCGAAAGCGUGGGGAGCAAACAGGAUUAGAUACCCCAGUAGUCCCUGUCUCUUAUAA
RNAcentral lists this ribosomal RNA (301 nucleotides) under uncultured bacterium. RNAcentral's name for it is "partial 16S ribosomal RNA". It matches the Rfam family "Bacterial small subunit ribosomal RNA", at positions 509 to 809 of the family's 1533-position model. The record is from RNAcentral.